This 497-nucleotide ribosomal RNA is filed under the name uncultured bacterium. RNAcentral's name for it is "partial 16S ribosomal RNA". It matches the Rfam family "Bacterial small subunit ribosomal RNA", at positions 28 to 507 of the family's 1533-position model. The record is from RNAcentral.
GCUGCACUCUGGCGGCGUGCCUAAUACAUGCAAGUCGAGCGAACAGAUGAGGAGCUUGCUCCUCUGACGUUAGCGGCGGACGGGUGAGUAACACGUGGAUAACCUACCUAUAAGACUGGGAUAACUUCGGGAAACCGGAGCUAAUACCGGAUAAUAUAUUGAACCGCAUGGUUCAAUAGUGAAAGACGGUUUUGCUGUCACUUAUAGAUGGAUCCGCGCCGCAUUAGCUAGUUGGUAAGGUAACGGCUUACCAAGGCAACGAUGCGUAGCCGACCUGAGAGGGUGAUCGGCCACACUGGAACUGAGACACGGUCCAGACUCCUACGGGAGGCAGCAGUAGGGAAUCUUCCGCAAUGGGCGAAAGCCUGACGGAGCAACGCCGCGUGAGUGAUGAAGGUCUUCGGAUCGUAAAACUCUGUUAUUAGGGAAGAAAAAAUGUGUAAGUAACUAUGCACGUCUUGACGGUACCUAAUCAGAAAGCCACGGCUAACUACGUG